UGUUCUGCCACAUCGUGCUGCUUAAGUCUGGGAGCCAGGGUGGGAGGUACUGGGUUACAAGAAGGGAACAGGUGUGAGGGGUGACAACAUACUCAUUCAGCUUUGGACUCGUGCCUGUGGGGGUCCUGUAGGAGAUCUUGCGGACCUGUGCAGUGGGCCGUCGGAAAGGCAAGCCUGACCCUUUCAAGAGAGGUCAGGCCUGGAGACCAAGGGUGAGGCCCCUCCAUAAAGAGAAGGUGGUUGAAGCCCAUGGAUUAGAUGCUUGUGAAGAGCACAGAGUGGGAAGAGAAAGGAGCAGUGACAGAACCAUGAGAAGCACAAUAGAGGGCGGGGAGAGGCAGACCUGACAUGGGGCAGACUCAAAUCCCGCCCUCAUGGACCUUACAGAGCUGCCACAAGCAUUCGUAAUUCUUAUCUAAGCAGACAGGGUCAAGUGACUAAGAGAGGACCAAGGACCUCAUUUCCAGGAGUGAGGCCAGGAAGACUCCAUGAAGGAGGGUGUUUUAACCAGGCUUUGGACCAAGCGCGGGAUGAGGACUGGCAAGAGAUGGUUAGACACACAAAGGCAAGGAGGCUUCAGGAUGUCUGGGAAACUGUGAGAAGUUGGUUAAUAUCUGGUCAGAGGUACUCACAGAAUAAUGCAGAAUUGGAUUAGAAUUCAAAAGCAUUUAAAAAAAUGUGUGAGCCACAGAAUGAAGUUUAGGGAGACUCAAAACUGUGUACUAUUGCUGCAGACACUGAGGCAGAUUAGUGUGCAGGACGACUGUUUCGGAGAGGUGCUGAAGGAAACGCCUGGAGAAGGGGAGAGAAGGAAGCAGGAUUAGGCGUAGGAGAGGUUGGGAGGUGCUGAGGUCUCACUAGUGGCCUCAGGUGACCUCAUGGGGAGCUCGGGAGCUUGGUCAGCCCUGCAGAGCAGUUCCGCACUGGGAAGUCUAGUGGGUUGAAUAGUGGCCCCCAAAAUAUAUGUCCAAGUCCUAACCCUCGGUACCUGUGACUGUGACUUUAUUUGCAUGUAAUUAAGUUAAGCAUCCUGGGGUGUGAUCAGCCUGUGUUUAGGGUGAGCCAAAUCUAAUGACCAGCAUCUUCAUGGGAGAAAGGAGAGGGAGAUUCCACACUCAGACACACAUGGGAGUGGGCCGUGUGAAGACAGGAGCAGAGACUGGGGUGACGCCUCUACAAGCAGAGGCAGCCAAGGAUUGCCUCAGCCACCAGAAACCAGGAGAGAGGCACGGAACAGGCUCUUCCCCAGAGGCUCCAGAAGGAACCAGCCUGCUGAUUUCAGGCUUCCACCUCCAGAAUGGCGAAAGAAUACAUUCUAUUGUUUUCAGCUGCCCAGUUUGUGGUAAUCUGUUUUGGCAGCCUUAGGAAAUGAAUACAGGAGGCCAGGCCUUUUUACCCAGUACGAUCUGUCGUUGGAUGUGGGCUGCCCCGGAAGGAAGCACGAUCCUGGGCGAGCCAGUUUUCUUCAGCAGAGGUGAUCCCCAAAGAGAGCUGACAGCUGAGCACCCUUGUCUGGCAGCACUCCCAGCAGCCUGGGGAAUAAGUUCUCCCUUCCUGAAGGGGGUCUGGAUGACGCAUGACAGCAGCUACUUCUCUGUCCUUCAGUUUCCCCAUCUGCAUAAUGGGAAUAACAAUAAGACCUAUCUUGUAUGGUUGCUAGGAGACAAAAUUAGGUGGGAAUACCCAUGGCUAACAUUUAUUGAGCGCUUACUUUAUAUCUGUCAGGCACACCUGUCCAGAAGUUCAUACUUGUAUGUUGCCCUGCAUAUGGUAAGCACCCAGGAAACAGUAGCUAUUAUCAGAGGGGAGGUGUUCAAGGUCACACAGCUGCCAGAGCCAAGAUCGGAACCCAGAUUUCCUGACUCUCAGGCAAAUGUCCCUUCUUUGAUAAUAGAUCCCCUCUCUGCAUGGGCCUAAUCGUGUCUUCUUUUCAUGACACUAAUAGUGUUUUUAUGCAAUGAAGCAAAAUUUGUGUUUCACAAAAGAAAUGUCAUUUUGCCUUGUCAUCUGAAGGGAAGAGCUUUGAGUUGUCUGAAAUUCAUUCGCACUCUCCGAGCCUCUAGACUUUAUAUGACCAAAGACAUUAAUUUGUGAGACAGGCUGGGGUGGGAGGGGCGGCUGGGUCUGGGCAUGGGUCCCUGCUGCCUACAGCUAAUUGGCUUCACAGGCUCCACAUCCCAGCAUCUGCUGACAGGGCAUUCCUGAGACUGGGGAGAGGCCAGACACUAUCGUUUGAAAGAGGACAAAGUGAAGGACAGAGAGAUUAGCCGAUUUGCCCUCUUAAUUAUGUGGUGAGCUGGAGAUGGAGCCAAGAAUUGAAUCCAGAUUUCUCAAGUCCCAGAUGGGUUUUUUCAUCAGAGGUCCUGCCACAUUCCUUCUCUUGGAACUGCCCCCUCUCUGGAUCCCAGAAACACAUACCUGGGUUGAGUUUGGGGGCGUGUGAUUGUGUGUUACUGCUCCCUUCACAUUAUACGAAUUCUUAAAAAGAAAGAAAGAAAAAGCUCUUACCCUUAGAAAACGGUCACUUACUUGAGACUAGCAUAGAUGAUAUAUAGAUUGCUGAAAUGCUCUUAACCACAUCUAUUUUUCGAGAAUUUUGGCUUGGCAUGUCCAGCACCCUAACAGAGCGCUCUUCAAUUUGACCCGUGCAUUUCUUUCCAGAAGAAUUUGCAUAUAGAAGCAUUAUACAAGUUAUUAAUGUUAAAAGGAAUUUUCUCCUCUAUUCAAAAAUUCGAGAUAAAAUUCACAUUGACACAGUCUGGGACUACAAAUGAGCAGUGGCUAUCCAAAAAUUUCCAUAUGCAAACUUCCCCACACAGAGGGCACUUUAGGAACAACACUGUGGGCUUUUACCACUAGAGGGCUUGACCUAAAUUACACACUUAAAAAGAUUGUUCCAAGGGACUGGCCCAGCAGAGCGGUUAACUUCAUGCUCUCCACUGCAGUGGCCUGGGGCUCACUGGUUUGCAUCCUGGGUUUGGACCAGUGCACUGCUUAUCAAGUCAUGCUGUGGCAGGAGUCUCACAUAUAAAAUAGAGGAAGGUGGACACAGAUGUUAGCUCAUGGCUAAUCUUCCUCAAAAAAAAAAAAAAAAAAUUGUUCCAAAUACAGUUGUCACACAUUUCCAGAUUUUCAGGUAGUUAACUUCCCAACAAGGUAACUUGCCACAGAUUCCUGUUACUGUUGGCUUUAGAUACAUACAUAUCCCUGUGAUGUGCUCCCCUCCUCCAACCAAAUUCUAUAUUUUAAAAGUAUCAAUGAUACAAGAAAUAAACCAGUUUGCUGACUUUGAUCUAACUGGUUACUGGCCACACUGUUUUGGUGACUCUUUCUGUGAAACUGCCAAGCUAAAUGCCAUCUCGUGAGGCUGCUGGGCGAUCAUCCUGCUUGGCCUCCCCUGUCAGCUCCUUUGCCCCAGCCUGGAUCUUCUCGGGAAACAGAUUUCUCUUUGUGUCUUCCUGUGCUGGUGGGCAGAAGGGGGUUUGGUCAUUCUUUCCUUCGAAGAGCUGAGAAGUUCUUUAAGACAGCAAACAGCUAGAUGGUUUGUUUGACUGGCCAGUCAUUCAUUCACUUAUUCAACUGAUAUUCACUGACACCUAUUACAUUCCAGGCACUGAAAGAGAACACAGGGCUGAUUCCUUGACCUUUUGCAGUUCAUAGUCUAGUGAGGAAUACGAAUAAUUACAAAGGUGCGUUGACAAUUUGGGUAAAAUUCGGUUAGUUUUGGGAAGGAGGCACUUUUAGAAAGACUCUUUUACAGCCCUCAGCACUGUUAUUGCGUGAACUGGCUCAGCAUGGCCGGCCCAGUGAAGGACGCCAGUGGUAGUAACCGGGGAAGAGGGAUCCCCUGGCUCUUCUUACCAAACUUCUUCGAUCGUUUGGAGUGGUUUGGCCAUCAGUUAGUCAGGAAGAGGCCAGAAGGACACGUGCUGAUAAUGCUUCAAGAAAGUUAAACUUUAGGAAAAACUCGACCGAAGUAAAAAUAGCUAUGUAGUCAGUGACCAAAGCUACUUGGAUGGUCCUGUUGAUUGCUCUUGUGCAUUUUAUCACACGAAUACAGGCUUUCCCCUAAAAGUUGAAAAUAAAGAAGGGAAAUGUGAUGAAUGGCA
RNAcentral lists this long non-coding RNA (4109 nucleotides) under Equus caballus (horse). RNAcentral describes it as "lncRNA (ENSECAG00000031048.2)". Lineage: Eukaryota; Metazoa; Chordata; Mammalia; Perissodactyla; Equidae. The record is from RNAcentral.